Molecule: transfer RNA, 87 nt
Filed under: Adiantum malesianum
Lineage: Eukaryota; Viridiplantae; Streptophyta; Polypodiopsida; Polypodiales; Pteridaceae
Description: tRNA-Ser
Rfam family: tRNA
About the family: Transfer RNA (tRNA) molecules are approximately 80 nucleotides in length. Their secondary structure includes four short double-helical elements and three loops (D, anti-codon, and T loops).
Source: RNAcentral
GGAAAGGUGACCGAGUGGUUUAAGGUGUGGCACCGGAAAUGCUAUGUAGAUUUCCAGCUACCGAGGGUUCGAAUCCCUCCCUUUCCU